AUACGUAGGGGGCAAGCGUUGUCCGGAAUUAUUGGGCGUAAAGCGCAUGUAGGCGGUGUCUUAAGUCUGUCGUGAAACUGCGGGGCCUAACCCCGGAAGGCGAUGGAAACUGGGGCACUUGAGUGCAGGAGAGGAAAGGGGAACUCCCAGUGUAGCGGUGGAAUGCGUAGAUAUUGGGAAGAACACCGGUGGCGAAGGCGCCUUUCUGGACUGUGUCUGACGCUGAGAUGCGAAAGCCAGGGUAGCGAACGGGAUUAGAUCCCCCGGUAGUCCUGGCCGUAAACGAUGGGUACUAGGUGUGGGAGGUAUCGACCCCUUCCGUGCCGGAGUUAACGCAAUAAGUACCCCGCCUGGGGAGUACGGCCGCAAGGCUUAAACUCAAAGGAAUUGACGGGG
This 396-nucleotide ribosomal RNA is filed under the name uncultured bacterium. Its description in RNAcentral is "partial 16S ribosomal RNA". It matches the Rfam family "Bacterial small subunit ribosomal RNA", at positions 523 to 918 of the family's 1533-position model. The record is from RNAcentral.